UGAGGAAUAUUGGGCAAUGGACGCAAGUCUGACCCAGCCAUGCCGCGUGCAGGAUGAAGGCGUUCUGCGUUGUAAACUGCUUUUAUCUGGGAAGAAACCUGAUUAUUCUUAAUCAGCCGACGGUACCAGAUGAAUAAGCACCGGCUAACUCCGUGCCAGCAGCCGCGGUAAUACGGAGGGUGCAAGCGUUAUCCGGAUUCACUGGGUUUAAAGGGUGUGUAGGCGGAUAUUUAAGUCAGUGGUGAAAUCUCUGGGCUCAACCCGGAAACUGCCAUUGAUACUAUUUAUCUUGAAUUCCGUUGAGGUGGGCGGAAUACAUCAUGUAGCGGUGAAAUGCUUAGAUAUGAUGUAGAACACCGAUUGCGAAGGCAGCUCACUAAACAGCGAUUGACGCUGAGGCACGAAAGCGUGGGGAUCAAACAGGAUUAGAUACCCUGGUAGUCCACGCCCUAAACGAUGAUUACUCGACAUACGCGAUACACU
Molecule: ribosomal RNA, 483 nt
Filed under: uncultured bacterium
Lineage: Bacteria
Description: bacterial SSU rRNA
Rfam family: Bacterial small subunit ribosomal RNA
Source: RNAcentral